AGCUUUUCGUUUUGGAAACAAGUGAUUUUGAAAAUCACCAAAAGAUGUUCGAAUCCUCUCAAAGCUU
Molecule: transfer RNA, 67 nt
Filed under: Diopatra cuprea
Lineage: Eukaryota; Metazoa; Annelida; Polychaeta; Eunicida; Onuphidae
Description: tRNA-Ser
Source: RNAcentral